Molecule: ribosomal RNA, 1449 nt
Filed under: uncultured Propionibacterium sp.
Lineage: Bacteria; Bacillati; Actinomycetota; Actinomycetes; Propionibacteriales; Propionibacteriaceae
Description: 16S ribosomal RNA
Rfam family: Bacterial small subunit ribosomal RNA
Source: RNAcentral
UGCUUAACACAUGCAAGUCGAACGGAAAGGCCCUGCUUUUGUGGGGUGCUCGAGUGGCGAACGGGUGAGUAACACGUGAGUAACCUGCCCUUGACUUUGGGAUAACUUCAGGAAACUGGGGCUAAUACCGGAUAGGAGCUCCUGCUGCAUGGUGGGGGUUGGAAAGUUUCGGCGGUUGGGGAUGGACUCGCGGCUUAUCAGCUUGUUGGUGGGGUAGUGGCUUACCAAGGCUUUGACGGGUAGCCGGCCUGAGAGGGUGACCGGCCACAUUGGGACUGAGAUACGGCCCAGACUCCUACGGGAGGCAGCAGUGGGGAAUAUUGCACAAUGGGCGGAAGCCUGAUGCAGCAACGCCGCGUGCGGGAUGACGGCCUUCGGGUUGUAAACCGCUUUCGCCUGUGACGAAGCGUGAGUGACGGUAAUGGGUAAAGAAGCACCGGCUAGCUACGUGCCAGCAGCCGCGGUGAUACGUAGGGUGCGAGCGUUGUCCGGAUUUAUUGGGCGUAAAGGGCUCGUAGGUGGUUGAUCGCGUCGGAAGUGUAAUCUUGGGGCUUAACCCUGAGCGUGCUUUCGAUACGGGUUGACUUGAGGAAGGUAGGGGAGAAUGGAAUUCCUGGUGGAGCGGUGGAAUGCGCANAUAUCAGGAGNAACACCAGUGGCGAAGGCGGUUCUCUGGGCCUUUCCUGACGCUGAGGAGCGAAAGCGUGGGGAGCGAACAGGCUUAGAUACCCUGGUAGUCCACGCUGUAAACGGUGGGUACUAGGUGUGGGGUCCAUUCCACGGGUUCCGUGCCGUAGCUAACGCUUUAAGUACCCCGCCUGGGGAGUACGGCCGCAAGGCUAAAACUCAAAGGAAUUGACGGGGCCCCGCACAAGCGGCGGAGCAUGCGGAUUAAUUCGAUGCAACGCGUAGAACCUUACCUGGGUUUGACAUGGAUCGGGAGCGCUCAGAGAUGGGUGUGCCUCUUUUGGGGUCGGUUCACAGGUGGUGCAUGGCUGUCGUCAGCUCGUGUCGUGAGAUGUUGGGUUAAGUCCCGCAACGAGCGCAACCCUUGUUCACUGUUGCCAGCACGUUAUGGUGGGGACUCAGUGGAGACCGCCGGGGUCAACUCGGAGGAAGGUGGGGAUGACGUCAAGUCAUCAUGCCCCUUAUGUCCAGGGCUUCACGCAUGCUACAAUGGCUGGUACAGAGAGUGGCGAGCCUGUGAGGGUGAGCGAAUCUCGGAAAGCCGGUCUCAGUUCGGAUUGGGGUCUGCAACUCGACCUCAUGAAGUCGGAGUCGCUAGUAAUCGCAGAUCAGCAACGCUGCGGUGAAUACGUUCCCGGGGCUCGUACACACCGCCCGUCAAGUCAUGAAAGUUGGUAACACCCGAAGCCGGUGGCCUAACCGUUGUGGGGGAGCCGUCGAAGGUGGGACUGGUGAUUAGGACUAAGUCGUAACAAGGUAACC